AAUGAACGCUGGCGGCAGGCUUAACACAUGCAAGUCGAGCGAGCGGCGGACGGGUGAGUAAUGUCUGGGAAACUGCCUGAUGGAGGGGGAUAACUACUGGAAACGGUAGCUAAUACCGCAUACCAUCAGAUGUGCCCAGAUGGGAUUAGCUAGGAGGUGGGGUAAUGGCUCACCUGGGCGACGAUCCCUAACUGGUCUGAGAGGAGGCCCAGCCACCUGAGAACUGAGACCAGGUCCAAACUCCUACGGGAGGCAGCAGUUGGGAAUAUUGCACAUUGGGCGCAAGCCUGAUGCAGCCAUGCCGCGUGUGUGAAGAAGGCCUUCGGGUUGUAAAGCACUUUCAGCGAGGAGGCGUUACUCGCAGAAGAAGCACCGGCUAACUCCGUGCCAGCAGCCGCGGUAAUAC
RNAcentral lists this ribosomal RNA (406 nucleotides) under uncultured bacterium. Its description in RNAcentral is "partial 16S ribosomal RNA". It matches the Rfam family "Bacterial small subunit ribosomal RNA", at positions 29 to 526 of the family's 1533-position model. The record is from RNAcentral.